RNAcentral lists this ribosomal RNA (292 nucleotides) under uncultured bacterium. Its description in RNAcentral is "partial 16S ribosomal RNA". It matches the Rfam family "Bacterial small subunit ribosomal RNA", at positions 505 to 796 of the family's 1533-position model. The record is from RNAcentral.
GUGCCAGCAGCCGCGGUAAUACGUAGGCAGCGAGCGUUGUUCGGAAUUACUGGGCGUAAAGAGUGUGUAGGCGGUGUUCCCAGUCUGUUGUGAAAUCUCCCGGCUUAACUGGGAGGGUGCAGCGGAAACUAGAAUGCUAGAGGGUGGGAGAGGUAAGCGGAAUUCCUGGUGUAGCGGUGAAAUGCGUAGAUAUCAGGAGGAACACCUGUGGUGUAGACAGCUUACUGGACCACUUCUGACGCUGAGACACGAAAGCGUGGGUAGCAAACAGGAUUAGAUACCCUGGUAGUCC